Molecule: long non-coding RNA, 2969 nt
Organism: Cyprinus carpio (common carp)
Lineage: Eukaryota; Metazoa; Chordata; Actinopteri; Cypriniformes; Cyprinidae
Exons: 3
Source: RefSeq, a predicted model, not a curated record
UGAAAAAUUGUAAGACAAACUUAAAGUGCAAUCUUAUACUGCUGUUUUUCAGAAUUUACAAUACACAAAUGUGGACACCUCUGCAGAAGUCAACCACAUUAUCAAUGCUUUUACAGCAAAUCAACAAUUUUAAGAAAACCUGAUUUUAUAAAACAUUUAGGACUCUGCAAACGAAAACACCAACCACCAACCCCUCACACUAAAGCCACCACAACAUCUGCCACAGCUCUGCCCACCAUUCAUGUGCCUCCCUCCACUGUCACGGCUCUGCCAACCAUUCAUUUGUGGAUGUCUCCUCCUCCCAGGGGUAAGCCAAAACAUGUUUGAACAUAAGCAUGUUUAUGUUCUGCACUGUGUGCAUGUUUUAUUUGAAUAAUUUGUACAGGCCAUCAUUCAUGGCCUUUGCGAGCUGCAAGGUUUGUUUUGGCAGGAGGUUGAAGAGAUUCCUCCAGGGCCCCACUUAUCACUCAUGUGAAGUUGAGGAAUUUGACAGAAGAAUUGCUCGAGAAAUGAAAAAUAUCCCCAACCAGAAUGUAAAGCAUUUAUUUUGUUUGAUGUUAUUUAAUAUGUAAUAUAUACAUUAUUAUCCCAGUUAUUAUUAUUUUAUUUUUUUGCACCAUUUUUCUCUGCAUUGUUUACAGCUUGGUGACUUGUAGGACCUCAUAAAAAAAAAAAAAAAAAAAAAAAAACUAAACUUUUUAUUCUCUAACAAACCUCACCAUUUACUUGCAGCUAUGAACUGACCUGCUUCCAAGAGCUCACUUGCUCUGCUAUUUCCUCCAACAAUUUGAAUAGGAACAUGACGUAAUGUUGGUCUAAAAUCGAAGUACUACAUUUCUGCCAUCUAGUGGUAGGGAAUAGAAAUGAGAUAUUACACCACAUUAUGUAGUUUGUUUUAUAUAUUUCUGACUCUGACAAUAUUAAAUAUGGAUUUAGAUUACUUUUUGUUCCUGCACUUACAGUUCCCUUUGGAUAACAAUGACACUUUCAUAUUGUUUAUACUGUGGGCACAUGUAGUCAUUUGUUGUCAGUGUUUGUAAUGGAUGGAGAUUUGGUCUCUCUAAACACAAAUGGCAAAACAAGCCAAUAAUAAAAGAUUAAAUGGUAUUUUAAUGACACUCACAUCACUCAAAUCAGUGAUUAUCUCAGUAAGAUCUGUACAGAUGUUCAGUGUAAUGAAGGUACUGAGAGAUUCAGAGACAGACUGAAGCUGGAUCAUCAGACUGGAUCUCUGACCAUCAUGAACAUCACAAACACAGACUCUGGAGUUUAUCAUCUUGAGAUCAUCACCAACAGCAGCAGCAUCCGCCGUCAGCACAUUAACAUUAUCAGUAAAAAGAGGCAAAGUGAGAAUGUCACGAAUUGGGUUGUGUAUGUAUUCGGUAUAGGGGGAGUAUGUGUCGGUGUUGCUCUGGUGGUUGCAGGAGUAACUGGUGAGAAUUUCUGCUUUUGUGUUUUCUGUGCAUGUGUUUAUCAUUACAAAAUAUUUAAAUGUGCAAGCUGUUUAGGGAAGAUAACUGGAUUUUUAAUGGGGAUCGUUACAUGUUUUUUAUUUUUUUUAUUUUUUUAUGUUCCUUCAGGUUAACUUAUUUUAAUAAAGUAUUUUUGCACCAAAAAGCAGAUUUUCAACCCUAAUUCUGACCUUCUGUCUAAAAGGAUCUCUUUUUUUUUUAAUUGCAUAGAAAACAGUAUCAAAUGGUCGCUUGCUAUUUUAUGUGAAUAAGUGUUUUGAAAAUAUUAUUGAUAUAAAAUGAUCAUUUACAGACAAAGCGUUACAAAUCAAUCUGCUGUCAAAUUCUCUGAACAAACAUAAUCUUCUGACACAAUCUGGGACACAUUUAAAAUAAACCACCCGCUUGUUUCGAAGCUGGGAUACUUCUGAAGUCUGUAGAGAGCUGCAAACAAGCUGUAUAAACUGGAGGCAUCAAAGCCAGAGUUCUUUCACUCUUCAUUUGUCUGUUGUGGAGUAUGUCAGAAACUGAAUUCUCUAUCAUAAUUUGUCAAGUGUAGGCAGUGGCACUAAUUAUAAUGGCUUCUAUUAGUUUUUGACGCAACACUUCCAGUGUAGGCAAAUGUCAGCUGUUAAGUAACUGAAUGCCAGUGGGCGGGGCCUAUGGUGUGAUGUGUCAGUGUCUUGCUCUGGAGGCGGUCAUAUGCAAAUGAACUUACCUGUGUAACAUCACAGAUCCUGCAAUAUCAAAAUGAGGAGCUUAAUUAAAUGCAUUGUUUAUAAUGAGGUGGAGAAUGCAAGCUAUGAAACUUGCAGGAAGUUUUAAUGGUACAAAGACCUGCUAUAUGUCAAAAGAUGAAGGCAAAUUUGAUCUAUCAUGUCAUGACCCAUUUAACUGGAAAAUUAGAUGUUUCACUCACAAAGUCACAUGAUGCUAUUUUAUUAUUUUCAGCCGUUUUAUAUUCAUCCUGAAUAUGUUGUGAUUAUUCUAAUCUCAAAGCGUCAGAAACUGCAUUCAAUCACAUUGUAUUACUUUAGGAUGGACAAUGCCAAUAUAUAGGGAAUUGGCAUAGAAAACUUGCUUGUACAAAGAGUGCCCCAUAUCCUUCCUACAAAAUCAAACAACUGGUCUUUAAUUACACCGAGGAAUAUACAGUAUCAUUUACAGUGCACUAAAAAUAAUUGUAAUUUUGAUGUACCAUAUGUGGAAACAUUCUUUGUUUUUAAAAUAAUGUUUGUGUUAUUUUAGUGUCAUGUGUGUUAACAUGUUUUGUGAUUGUGUGCAUGAAACUGUGUGCAGCUUCCAUAUAUUUGUAUGUACUGCUUCAAAAUGUAGCUUUUUUCUUUCUUUUUUUGUAAGUUAGUUUUAUUUUGUAUAAAUUACAAGUUGUUCUGUUUAUGUUUACAAUUUUCUUGUAUUUUUGCACAAUUAUUAUCCUGUAUCCUAUACUGUUUGCAUUAUUGUUCAAUAGUUGUUUAAUUAUAAACAACAAUAUAACAACAAUACAGAUUCUUUCAA